This 273-nucleotide ribosomal RNA is filed under the name uncultured bacterium. RNAcentral's name for it is "partial 16S ribosomal RNA". It matches the Rfam family "Bacterial small subunit ribosomal RNA", at positions 83 to 354 of the family's 1533-position model. The record is from RNAcentral.
CUAUGUCGGCGACCGGCGCACGGGUGCGUAACGCGUAUGCAACCUACCCAUUACAGGGGGAUAACACUGAGAAAUCGGUACUAAUACCCCAUAACAUCCAGGGAGGCAUCUUCUUGGGUUGAAAACUCCGGUGGUAAUGGAUGGGCAUGCGUUGUAUUAGUUAGUUGGUGGGGUAACGGCUCACCCCCAAGACAACGAUACAUAGGGGGACUGAGAGGUUAACCCCCCACAUUGGUACUGAGACACGGACCAAACUCCUACGGAAGGCAGCAG